CAGCCGCCGCGGGAAUACGGAGGGGGCUAGCGUUGUUCGGAAUUACUGGGCGUAAAGCGCGCGUAGGCGGCUUGGUAAGUUAGAGGUGAAAGCCUGGAGCUCAACUCCAGAAUUGCCUUUAAGACUGCCGAGCUAGCAGGUGAGAGAGGUAAGUGGAAUUCCGAGUGUAGAGGUGAAAUUCGUAGAUAUUCGGAAGAACACCAGUGGCGAAGGCGGCUUACUGGCUCAUACUGGACGCUGAGGUGCGAAAGCGUGGGGAGCAAACAGGAUUAGAUACCCGCGUAGUCCCUGUCUCUUAUAC
RNAcentral lists this ribosomal RNA (301 nucleotides) under uncultured bacterium. Its description in RNAcentral is "partial 16S ribosomal RNA". It matches the Rfam family "Bacterial small subunit ribosomal RNA", at positions 509 to 807 of the family's 1533-position model. The record is from RNAcentral.